AUUGAACGCUGGCGGCAGGCCUAACACAUGCAAGUCGAGCGAGCGGCGGACGGGUGAGUAAUGUAUGGGGACUGCCCGAUAGAGGGGGAUAACUACUGGCAACGGUAGCUAAUACCGCAUACUAUCGGAUAACCCAUAUGGGAUUAGCUAGUCGGUGAGGUAAUGGCUCACCUAGGCGACGAUCCCUAGCUGGUCUGAGAGGAUGAUCAGCCACACUGGGACUGAGACACGGCCCAGACUCCUACGGAGGCAGCAGUGGGGAAUUUUGUACAAUGGGGGCAACCCUGAUGCAGCCAUCCCGCGUGUAUGAAGAAGGCCUUCGGGUUGUAAAGUACUUUUAGCGGGGAGGCGGUAUCCGCAGAAGAAGCACCGGCUAACUCCGUGCCAGCAGCCGCGGUAAUUC
RNAcentral lists this ribosomal RNA (403 nucleotides) under uncultured bacterium. Its description in RNAcentral is "partial 16S ribosomal RNA". It matches the Rfam family "Bacterial small subunit ribosomal RNA", at positions 30 to 526 of the family's 1533-position model. The record is from RNAcentral.